UUAAGCGACUAAGCGUACACGGUGGAUGCCCUGGCAGUCAGAGGCGAUGAAGGACGUGCUAAUCUGCGAUAAGCGUCGGUAAGGUGAUAUGAACCGUUAUAACCGGCGAUUUCCGAAUGGGGAAACCCAGUGUGUUUCGACACACUAUCAUUAACUGAAUCCAUAGGUUAAUGAGGCGAACCGGGGGAACUGAAACAUCUAAGUACCCCGAGGAAAAGAAAUCAACCGAGAUUCCCCCAGUAGCGGCGAGCGAACGGGGAGCAGCCCAGAGCCUGAAUCAGUGUGUGUGUUAGUGGAAGCGUCUGGAAAGGCGCGCGAUACAGGGUGACAGCCCCGUACACAAAAAUGCACAUGCUGUGAGCUCGAUGAGUAGGGCGGGACACGUGGUAUCCUGUCUGAAUAUGGGGGGACCAUCCUCCAAGGCUAAAUACUCCUGACUGACCGAUAGUGAACCAGUACCGUGAGGGAAAGGCGAAAAGAACCCCGGCGAGGGGAGUGAAAAAGAACCUGAAACCGUGUACGUACAAGCAGUGGGAGCACGCUUAGGCGUGUGACUGCGUACCUUUUGUAUAAUGGGUCAGCGACUUAUAUUCUGUAGCAAGGUUAACCGAAUAGGGGAGCCGAAGGGAAACCGAGUCUUAACUGGGCGUUAAGUUGCAGGGUAUAGACCCGAAACCCGGUGAUCUAGCCAUGGGCAGGUUGAAGGUUGGGUAACACUAACUGGAGGACCGAACCGACUAAUGUUGAAAAAUUAGCGGAUGACUUGUGGCUGGGGGUGAAAGGCCAAUCAAACCGGGAGAUAGCUGGUUCUCCCCGAAAGCUAUUUAGGUAGCGCCUCGUGAAUUCAUCUCCGGGGGUAGAGCACUGUUUCGGCAAGGGGGUCAUCCCGACUUACCAACCCGAUGCAAACUGCGAAUACCGGAGAAUGUUAUCACGGGAGACACACGGCGGGUGCUAACGUCCGUCGUGAAGAGGGAAACAACCCAGACCGCCAGCUAAGGUCCCAAAGUCAUGGUUAAGUGGGAAACGAUGUGGGAAGGCCCAGACAGCCAGGAUGUUGGCUUAGAAGCAGCCAUCAUUUAAAGAAAGCGUAAUAGCUCACUGGUCGAGUCGGCCUGCGCGGAAGAUGUAACGGGGCUAAACCAUGCACCGAAGCUGCGGCAGCGACGCUUAUGCGUUGUUGGGUAGGGGAGCGUUCUGUAAGCCUGCGAAGGUGUGCUGUGAGGCAUGCUGGAGGUAUCAGAAGUGCGAAUGCUGACAUAAGUAACGAUAAAGCGGGUGAAAAGCCCGCUCGCCGGAAGACCAAGGGUUCCUGUCCAACGUUAAUCGGGGCAGGGUGAGUCGACCCCUAAGGCGAGGCCGAAAGGCGUAGUCGAUGGGAAACAGGUUAAUAUUCCUGUACUUGGUGUUACUGCGAAGGGGGGACGGAGAAGGCUAUGUUGGCCGGGCGACGGUUGUCCCGGUUUAAGCGUGUAGGCUGGUUUUCCAGGCAAAUCCGGAAAAUCAAGGCUGAGGCGUGAUGACGAGGCACUACGGUGCUGAAGCAACAAAUGCCCUGCUUCCAGGAAAAGCCUCUAAGCAUCAGGUAACAUCAAAUCGUACCCCAAACCGACACAGGUGGUCAGGUAGAGAAUACCAAGGCGCUUGAGAGAACUCGGGUGAAGGAACUAGGCAAAAUGGUGCCGUAACUUCGGGAGAAGGCACGCUGAUAUGUAGGUGAAGUCCCUCGCGGAUGGAGCUGAAAUCAGUCGAAGAUACCAGCUGGCUGCAACUGUUUAUUAAAAACACAGCACUGUGCAAACACGAAAGUGGACGUAUACGGUGUGACGCCUGCCCGGUGCCGGAAGGUUAAUUGAUGGGGUUAGCCGCAAGGCGAAGCUCUUGAUCGAAGCCCCGGUAAACGGCGGCCGUAACUAUAACGGUCCUAAGGUAGCGAAAUUCCUUGUCGGGUAAGUUCCGACCUGCACGAAUGGCGUAAUGAUGGCCAGGCUGUCUCCACCCGAGACUCAGUGAAAUUGAACUCGCUGUGAAGAUGCAGUGUACCCGCGGCAAGACGGAAAGACCCCGUGAACCUUUACUAUAGCUUGACACUGAACAUUGAGCCUUGAUGUGUAGGAUAGGUGGGAGGCUUUGAAGUGUGGACGCCAGUCUGCAUGGAGCCGACCUUGAAAUACCACCCUUUAAUGUUUGAUGUUCUAACGUUGACCCGUAAUCCGGGUUGCGGACAGUGUCUGGUGGGUAGUUUGACUGGGGCGGUCUCCUCCUAAAGAGUAACGGAGGAGCACGAAGGUUGGCUAAUCCUGGUCGGACAUCAGGAGGUUAGUGCAAUGGCAUAAGCCAGCUUGACUGCGAGCGUGACGGCGCGAGCAGGUGCGAAAGCAGGUCAUAGUGAUCCGGUGGUUCUGAAUGGAAAGGCCAUCGCUCAACGGAUAAAAGGUACUCCGGGGAUAACAGGCUGAUACCGCCCAAGAGUUCAUAUCGACGGCGGUGUUUGGCACCUCGAUGUCGGCUCAUCACAUCCUGGGGCUGAAGUAGGUCCCAAGGGUAUGGCUGUUCGCCAUUUAAAGUGGUACGCGAGCUGGGUUUAGAACGUCGUGAGACAGUUCGGUCCCUAUCUGCCGUGGGCGCUGGAGAACUGAGGGGGCUGCUCCUAGUACGAGAGGACCGGAGUGGACGCAUCACUGGUGUUCGGGUUGUCAUGCCAAUGGCACUGCCCGGUAGCUAAAUGCGGAAGAGAUAAGUGCUGAAAGCAUCUAAGCACGAAACUUGCCCCGAGAUGAGUUCUCCCUGACUCCUUGAGAGUCCUGAAGGAACGUUGAAGACGACGACGUUGAUAGGCCGGGUGUGUAAGCGCAGCGAUGCGUUGAGCUAACCGGUACUAAUGAACCGUGAGGCUUAACCUU
RNAcentral lists this ribosomal RNA (2903 nucleotides) under Escherichia coli. RNAcentral's name for it is "bacterial LSU rRNA". It matches the Rfam family "Bacterial large subunit ribosomal RNA". Lineage: Bacteria; Pseudomonadati; Pseudomonadota; Gammaproteobacteria; Enterobacterales; Enterobacteriaceae. The record is from RNAcentral.